GUGCGAAAACUCCACAAUGCACGAAAGUGUGAUGGGGCUAUCCCGAGUGCUGUCCGCUGAGGACAGCUUUUUCUAUGCUGUAAGGAGGCGUGGGAAUAAGGAGAGGGCAAGCCUGGUGUCAGCCGCCGCGGUAAUACCAGCUCUCCGAGUGGUAGGGAUGUUUAUUGGGCUUAAAGCGUCCGUAGCCGGCUCUUCAAGUCUUUCGUUAAAACCAGCGAUUUAAUCGUUGGACUGCGAGAGAUACUGCUGGGCUAGGGGGCGGGAGAAGUCGACGGUAUUUCCGGGGUAGGAGUGAAAUCCUAUAAUCCCGGGAGGACCACCAGUGGCGAAGGCGGUCGACUAGAACGCGCUCGACGGUGAGGGACGAAAGCUGGGGGAGCGAACCGGAUUAGAUACCCGGGUAGUCCCAGCUGUAAACGAUGCGAGCUAGGUGUUAGGGUGGCCACGAGCCGCUCUAGUGCCGCAGGGAAACCGUUAAGCUCGCCGCCGUGGGGAGUACGGCCGCAAGGCUGAAACGUUAAAGGAAUUGGCGGGGGAGCGACCAACG
This 547-nucleotide ribosomal RNA is filed under the name uncultured crenarchaeote. Its description in RNAcentral is "bacterial SSU rRNA". It matches the Rfam family "Archaeal small subunit ribosomal RNA", at positions 339 to 886 of the family's 1478-position model. The record is from RNAcentral. Lineage: Archaea; Thermoproteati; Thermoproteota.